Molecule: long non-coding RNA, 956 nt
Organism: Oncorhynchus mykiss (rainbow trout)
Lineage: Eukaryota; Metazoa; Chordata; Actinopteri; Salmoniformes; Salmonidae
Source: RefSeq, a predicted model, not a curated record
AUGAUUACAAGUGUCAUAAUAAAUGUUGUCUUUUUGUCUCAUUAACAGAAUCACUAUUGUUCCUGCCUUGUCUCCGGCCAUCUCUGCACCAGCUGUAUGAAUAAUGAAUGAAAACACCAGAUGAUGUAAAGGAGAACUAAUGAAGUUUGCAGUUUGAACAGGACACACAACACACUCCAGUCAGAUGAAGGAGGCAGCACACUGAGUGUUUCCACUUUCCAUCUGCCACUGUGCUUGCGUAACCGUUCCAGAGGACAGUGUUGAGCAAGAUGGGGGACCCAGCACCAUGCAGCAUGCAGCACCAGCUGUGACUCAUGAUGAGCAGGACUCUCUCUUCCUCUUUCUCAGUCUCUCUGAGCCUGUCUGUCUGGGUCUAUGGGGAGAUGCUGGACCCCAGUAGCCUAGUUUUUUCUGGUAAUUACCGUGCAAUCAGUUUAUAAUUCAUGUACCUUUUGAACUGAGAAGAGCAGGAGGUUGUCACAAGGUGUGGUAAGUGUGCAAUAAUACACGUGUACAUGGUUUUAUAAGUGGGGGGGCAUAAUAUCAAUAUUAUUUAUAUAUUUUUUUAAUCCAGUCGGAUAAACACUCCAAACGGCCUACCCGACGCUCGGAGGCGUCCGCAUGGUCCUAAAGCACACAGUUGCCUUGUUUUGUAUCACAUUCCAAUGAUAAAACUGGGGGGACAAAAAUGUCAUUUCAGAAUGUUCCUUCCCCAGUAAAAGUUUCACCCCUGUGUAAUUGUGUAGCCUAAUUACAUUGUUGUGAAGGAGCAUCAAUCCACCCAUUGUUAAAACUCCUAAAUGUGACAAUGAAAUAAGUAUGAAAUUAAAUAAUUAUUGAGUGUGUCUCUCUUCAUUCAGUAAAGGACAUGCCAUUCCUCCAGCAUCUAUCAAGUGCUUGUCAACACCUUUAAAAUACAUCAUUAUAGAGCUGCUGAAUUGAAAGAAUCUAACCUU